UUCUUUGAUGGCAGUCCAA
This 19-nucleotide small nuclear RNA is filed under the name Arabidopsis thaliana (thale cress). RNAcentral describes it as "snRNA_05771". The record is from RNAcentral. Lineage: Eukaryota; Viridiplantae; Streptophyta; Magnoliopsida; Brassicales; Brassicaceae.